ACUGAGCGGCGGACGGGUGAGUAACGCGUGGGUAACCUGCCUCAUACAGGGGGAUAACAGUUGGAAACGGCUGCUAAUACCGCAUAAGCGCACAGUACCGCAUGGUACGGUGUGAAAAACUCCGGUGGUAUGAGAUGGACCCGCGUCUGAUUAGGUGGUUGGUGGGGUAACGGCCUACCAAGCCGACGAUCAGUAGCCGACCUGAGAGGGUGACCGGCCACAUUGGGACCGAGACACGGCCCAA
RNAcentral lists this ribosomal RNA (244 nucleotides) under uncultured bacterium. RNAcentral describes it as "partial 16S ribosomal RNA". It matches the Rfam family "Bacterial small subunit ribosomal RNA", at positions 90 to 334 of the family's 1533-position model. The record is from RNAcentral.